GAUGAACGCUGGCGGCGUGCCUAAUACAUGCAAGUCGAGCGAACGGACGAGAAGCUUGCUUCUCUGAUGUUAUCGGCGGACGGGUGAGUAACACGUGGAUAACCUACCUAUAAGACUGGGAUAACUUCGGGAAACCGGAGCUAAUACCGGAUAAUAUUUUGAACCGCAUGGUUCAAAAGUGAAAGACGGUCUUUCUGUCACUUAUAGAUGGAUCCGCGCUGCAUUAGCUAGUUGGUAAGGUAACGGCUUACCAAGGCAACGAUGCAUAGCCGACCUGAGAGGGUGAUCGGCCACACUGGAACUGAGAAACGGUCCAGACUCCUACGGGAGGCAGCAGUAGGGAAUCUUACGCAAUGGGCGAAAGCCUGACGGAGCAAAGCCGCGUGAGUGAUGAAGGUCUUCGGAUCGUAAAACUCUGUUAUUAGGGAAGAACAUAUGUGUAAGUAACUGUGCACAUCUUGACGGUACCUAAUCAGAAAGCCACGGCUAACUACGUG
Molecule: ribosomal RNA, 497 nt
Filed under: uncultured bacterium
Lineage: Bacteria
Description: partial 16S ribosomal RNA
Rfam family: Bacterial small subunit ribosomal RNA
Source: RNAcentral